This 389-nucleotide long non-coding RNA is filed under the name Nilaparvata lugens (brown planthopper). Its description in RNAcentral is "uncharacterized LOC111055209, transcript variant X1". The record is from RNAcentral. Lineage: Eukaryota; Metazoa; Arthropoda; Insecta; Hemiptera; Delphacidae.
AACACACUUCUUUUCUACUUGGUGAGUACACUGAACAAUUCCUAAAUAGCUUUUUCCUAACAAACUAAACAUCUAUUUUAUUUUUUACACAAACUUCCUAUUUUCUUAAUAGAAUAUUUACGCUAGUAACUGCAACCCACAAGCAAAACCUCUUUCAACCAUGGGCAAGGAAAGGACUACCGUCAACAUCACCAUCAUCGGACACAUUGCCUGAAUAUUUCUUCAAACAACAAAAUGGACUUCUCGAUAGAAAGAAUGAUUACGGAUGGAUUUUCUACGACUUGAUUUAUGAAAUACACAAAUUCACACACAUGUAGCUACAUUCAAACACAUACACAUUAACACACUAAAAAUGUUUGGCAAUAAAGUUUCAUAUUUCUAAAUUCCAA